CUGGAGACCUGGAUUUGGCACGCUGACCAAGUCUUCUGGAACGGAGCGCCAUGGAGGGUGACAGCCCCGUAGCAGCAGCCGCAGUAAAUCCGGGUCGACGAGUCGAGUUGUUUGGGAAUGCAGCUCUAAGUGGGUGGUAUGCUCCAUCUAAAGCUAAAUAUUGGCGAGAGACCGAUAGCGAACAAGUACUGUGAAGGAAAGAUGAAAAGAACUUUGAAAAGAGAGUGAAAAAGUACGUGAAAUUGUUGAAAUGGAAGGCAAUGAGGUGCGAUUGACCCGGACGUUUGCGGGCAGCACAAAAGCGCAGGCCGCCUCGGCAUUGCCUGCGUGCAUACUGCCUCGCGGACCACCGGUUCUAAC
This 360-nucleotide ribosomal RNA is filed under the name Entelexis paramagnoliae. RNAcentral's name for it is "Starmerella magnoliae partial large subunit ribosomal RNA". It matches the Rfam family "Eukaryotic large subunit ribosomal RNA", at positions 150 to 497 of the family's 3401-position model. The record is from RNAcentral. Lineage: Eukaryota; Fungi; Ascomycota; Dipodascomycetes; Dipodascales; Trichomonascaceae.